GAACGGAGCAAUCCGGUCCG
This 20-nucleotide small nuclear RNA is filed under the name Arabidopsis thaliana (thale cress). RNAcentral describes it as "snRNA_06298". The record is from RNAcentral. Lineage: Eukaryota; Viridiplantae; Streptophyta; Magnoliopsida; Brassicales; Brassicaceae.